CCUACGGGAGGCAGCAGUGAGGAAUAUUGGACAAUGGGCGCAAGCCUGAUCCAGCCAUGCCGCGUGCAGGAUGACGGUCCUAUGGAUUGUAAACUGCUUUUGUACAGGAAGAAACACUGGUUCGUGAACCAGCUUGACGGUACUGUAAGAAUAAGGAUCGGCUAACUCCGUGCCAGCAGCCGCGGUAAUACGGAGGAUCCAAGCGUUAUCCGGAAUCAUUGGGUUUAAAGGGUCCGUAGGCGGUUUGGUAAGUCAGUGGUGAAAGCCCAUCGCUCAACGGUGGAACGGCCAUUGAUACUGCCAGACUUGAAUUAUUAGGAAGUAACUAGAAUAUGUAGUGUAGCGGUGAAAUGCUUAGAGAUUACAUGGAAUACCGAUUGCGAAGGCAGGUUACUACUAAUUGAUUGACGCUGAUGGACGAAAGCGUGGGUAGCGAACAGGAUUAGAUACCCUGGUAGUCCACGCCGUAAACGAUGGAUACUAGCUGUUGGGAGCAAUCUCAGUGGCUAAGCGAAAAGUGAUAAGUAUCCCACCUGGGGAGUACGUUCGCAAGAAAGAGAAGACGAAAGAAAGUAGAGACGUGAGAGAGCGACGGACGACGACGAGGGAGGAGGAG
RNAcentral lists this ribosomal RNA (616 nucleotides) under uncultured bacterium. RNAcentral describes it as "bacterial SSU rRNA". It matches the Rfam family "Bacterial small subunit ribosomal RNA", at positions 338 to 956 of the family's 1533-position model. The record is from RNAcentral.